CGGGUGAGUAAUGUAUGGGGAUCUGCCUGAUGGGGGGGGAUAACUACUGGAAACGGUAGCUAAUACCGCAUAAUGUCUACGGACCAAAGCGGGGACCUCGGGCCUCUUGCCAUCGGAUGUGCCCAGAUGGGAUUAGCUAGUAGGUGGGGUAACGGCUCACCUAGGCGACGAUCCCUAGCUGGUCUGAGAGGAUGACCAGCCACACUGGAACUGAGACACGGUCCAG
RNAcentral lists this ribosomal RNA (226 nucleotides) under uncultured bacterium. Its description in RNAcentral is "partial 16S ribosomal RNA". It matches the Rfam family "Bacterial small subunit ribosomal RNA", at positions 103 to 334 of the family's 1533-position model. The record is from RNAcentral.